Molecule: long non-coding RNA, 466 nt
Filed under: Bos taurus (domestic cattle)
Lineage: Eukaryota; Metazoa; Chordata; Mammalia; Artiodactyla; Bovidae
Description: long non-coding RNA NONBTAT026538
Source: RNAcentral
ACUGGUAAGAAACAGGGGCUGUUAAUAAUUCUGAUGCCAAGUAAGGUCCCAUUUUCCUACCUCAAAUUGGUUACUUUGUUUAUCUUGUAUGUGUGAGUGCAUCCUCAUUCCUUCUCUUUAGCAAGGGACUUCUGAAAGAACUCAGAGUUCAAGACCUAAGAAUAGGUCUUGCCUGCUUAAGCCUAGGUUGGGAUCUAUUAAAACUCAAUAUAAUACAUGUUCAUUGAGUCCUAAAUGCAAUCCUUCUCUGUCUCCAACACAUUAUACUCAGUGAGGUGCAUAUAUUUUAGAAGGGAAAUUCUGUAGGUAGCGUGCUGGAGAUCAAUUAUUUGACGUAUGUGUAAACUGUGUUUAAUUACAGGUGGUCGUAUCCAUGUGUGCUGGGUAACCCAAUUGGAUACAGUCUGCAAAGAGAAUCUACUUACUUCAAACUUUUGCCACCCCAGACUUUCUAACUAAUGGAUUA